RNAcentral lists this ribosomal RNA (220 nucleotides) under Bacteroidetes bacterium RIFOXYA2_FULL_33_7. RNAcentral describes it as "partial 16S ribosomal RNA". It matches the Rfam family "Bacterial small subunit ribosomal RNA", at positions 1 to 208 of the family's 1533-position model. The record is from RNAcentral. Lineage: Bacteria; Pseudomonadati; Bacteroidota.
AAUUUAAUUACAACGAAGAGUUUGAUCCUGGCUCAGGAUGAACGCUAGCGGUAGGCUUAACACAUGCAAGUCGAGGGGUAACAGGGUAGCAAUACUGCUGACGACCGGCGCACGGGUGAGUAACGCGUAUGCAACCUACCUUUAACUGGGGAAUAGCUUCGAGAAAUCGGAAUUAAUACUCCAUAAUAUCAAAGUAUCGCAUGGUAUUUUGAUUAAAGCU